CGAGGUGUGGCUCAGUUUGGCUAGAGCGCUACGUUAGGGACGUAGAGGCCGCAGGUUCAAAUCCUGUCACCUCGA
Molecule: transfer RNA, 75 nt
Organism: Herbinix sp.
Lineage: Bacteria; Bacillati; Bacillota; Clostridia; Lachnospirales; Lachnospiraceae
Rfam family: tRNA
About the family: Transfer RNA (tRNA) molecules are approximately 80 nucleotides in length.
Source: Rfam